This 440-nucleotide ribosomal RNA is filed under the name uncultured bacterium. RNAcentral describes it as "partial 16S ribosomal RNA". It matches the Rfam family "Bacterial small subunit ribosomal RNA", at positions 338 to 795 of the family's 1533-position model. The record is from RNAcentral.
CCUACGGGGGGCAGCAGUGGGGAAUAUUGGACAAUGGGGGAAACCCUGAUCCAGCGACGCCGCGUGAGUGAUGAAGUCUUUCGGUACGUAAAGCUCUAUUAGCAGGAAAGAAAAUGACGGUACCUGACUAAGACGCCCCGGCUAACUACGUGCCAGCAGCCGCGGUCAUACGUAGGGGGCACGCGUUAUCCGGAUUUACUGGGUGUAAAGGGGGCGUAGACGGCAGGGCAAGUCCGGAGGGAAGUGCCGGGGCCCAACCCCGGAACUGCGCUGGAAACUGUGAGGCUGGAGUGCAGGAGGGGUAAGCGGAAUUCCUGGUGUAGCGGUGAAAUGCGUAGAUAUCAGGAGGAACACCGGCGGCGAAGGCGGCUUACUGGACUGUAACUGACGUUGAGGCUCGAAGGCGUGGGGAGCAAACAGGAUUAGAUACCCUUGUAGUC